Molecule: ribosomal RNA, 398 nt
Filed under: uncultured bacterium
Lineage: Bacteria
Description: bacterial SSU rRNA
Rfam family: Bacterial small subunit ribosomal RNA
Source: RNAcentral
AGUUAACGCUGGCGGCGUGCAUAACACAUGCAAGUCGAACGAGUUUAUGAGAUUACAUCAAGUAGACUAGUGGCAGACGAGUGAGUAACACGUAAGAAAUCUACCCUAGAGUGGGGAACAACCAGUCGAAAGACCGGCUAAUACCCCAUACGAUCAUCGGUUGGCAUCCUCUGAUGAUGAAAGGUUUUUCGUCUCCGGGACGAUCUUGCGGCCUAUCAGCUAGUUGGCGGGGUAACGGCCCACCAAGGCUAUGACGGGUACCUGGCCUGAAAGGGCGGACGGGCGACGGAGGCACUGAGACACGGGCCUCACUCCUACGGGAGGCAGCAGUGGGGAAUUUUGACAAUGGGCGAAAGCCUGAUCCAGCAACGCCGCGUGAGGGAUGAAGGCCUGAGGGU